UCGAGAAUUUUUCUCAAUGGGCGCAAGCCUGAAGGAGCGACGCCGCGUGGAGGAUGAAGGCCUUCGGGUUGUAAACUCCUGUCAUUUGGGAACAAACCUUUUGGUUAACUGCCAAAAGACUGAUAGUACCAGAAGAGGAAGAGACGGCUAACUCUGUGCCAGCAGCCGCGGUAAUACAGAGGUCUCAACCGUUGUUCGGAUUCAUUGGGCGUAAAGGGUGCGUAGGCGGUCGUGCAAGUCGGAUGUGAAAUCUCAGGGCUCAACCCUGAAACUGCAUUCGAUACUGCGUGGCUAGAGUGCUGGAGGGGAGACUGGAAUUUACGGUGUAGCAGUGAAAUGCGUAGAUAUCGUAAGGAAGACCAGUGGCGAAGGCGAGUCUCUGGACAGCAACUGACGCUGAGGCACGAAGGCCAGGGGAGCAAACGG
This 426-nucleotide ribosomal RNA is filed under the name uncultured bacterium. RNAcentral describes it as "bacterial SSU rRNA". It matches the Rfam family "Bacterial small subunit ribosomal RNA", at positions 355 to 775 of the family's 1533-position model. The record is from RNAcentral.